This 3669-nucleotide long non-coding RNA is filed under the name Geospiza fortis (medium ground-finch). Its description in RNAcentral is "lncRNA (ENSGFOG00000007470.1)". Lineage: Eukaryota; Metazoa; Chordata; Aves; Passeriformes; Thraupidae. The record is from RNAcentral.
GGCUGGUGAUGGCGGCGGCUAUGGGUUCCGCGCUGUUGCCCCUCUUGGCGUUUCUCGGGCCCGCGGCCGCGCUCGCCGGAUACAUCGAGGCCCUUGCAGCCAAUGCUGGGACAGGGUUUGCAGUGGCAGAACCUCAAAUUGCCAUGUUCUGUGGGAAGCUAAAUAUGCAUGUGAACAUCCAGACUGGGAAAUGGGAACCUGACACUUCUGGGACCAAGAGCUGCUUUGGAAGAAAGGAGGAGAUUCUGCAAUACUGCCAGGAGAUGUACCCAGACCUUCAGAUCACCAACGUGGUAGAAGCCAACCAGCCCGUCAGCAUUGACAGCUGGUGCAAGCGUGGGAAGAAGCAGUGCAAGGACCACACUCACAUCGUUGUGCCAUACAAGUGCCUGGUGGGUGAGUUUGUAAGUGAUGUCCUGUUGGUGCCCGAGAAGUGCCGGUUCUUCCACAAGGAGCGCAUGGAUGUGUGUGAAAGCCACCAGCACUGGUACACUGUGGCAAAGGAGGCCUGUCUGACAGAAGGGAUGAUCCUGCACAGCUAUGGGAUGCUGCUGCCCUGCGGAGUGGACCAGUUCCAUGGAACAGAAUAUGUGUGCUGUCCUCAGACUAAGGUUGUGGAUGAGGCUCUGUCCAAAGAGGAAGAGGAUGAGGAUGAAGACUAUGACCUCUACAAGAGUGAGUUCCCUACAGAGGCAGGUGUAGAAGACUUCACAGGAACAGCUGUGGAGGAAGAUGAGGAUGAGGAUGAUGAAGGGGAAGAGGAGGAGGAUGUGGUGGAAGACCGUGAUUACUACUAUGACAGCUACAAGGUUGAUGACUACAAUGAAGAGACACCCACAGAGCCCAGUAGUGACAAGGCUAUGUCUGAAAAAGAAGUGAGCAGUGACAUGAAAUCUGUCUGCUCCCAGGAGGCCAUGACAGGGCCCUGCCGGGCUGUGAUGCCUCGUUGGUACUUCGAUCCUAACAAGAGAAAAUGCAUUCGCUUUAUAUAUGGAGGCUGCGGAGGCAACAGGAACAAUUUUGAGUCAGAGGAGUAUUGUAUGGCUGUGUGUAAAAAGAUGAGUAAGUCCUUGCCAACUGAUGAUGUGGAUGUGUAUUUUGAAACCCCUGCUGAUGACAAUGAGCAUGCCCGCUUCCAGAAGGCCAAGGAGCAGCUGGAGGUCAGGCACCACAACCGCAUGGACCGGGUGAAAAAGGAGUGGGAGGAAGCAGAGCACCAGGCUGUUAAUCUCCCCAAGGCAGAAAGGCAGACUCUGAUCCAGCACUUCCAGGCCAUGGUAAAAUCUCUGGAGAAAGAAGCAGCGAGUGAGAAGCAGCAGCUGGUGGAGACUCACCUGGCUCGUGUGGAAUGGUUUGACCUAUUCCCUGCUCCUGUCCUGCAGCCCCACCGCAUCCUGCAGGCCCUGAAGCGCUAUGUCCGUGCCGAGAACAAGGAUAGGCUGCACACCAUCCGCCACUACCAGCAUGUCCUGGCAGUGGAUCCGGAGAAGGCUGCACAGAUGAAAUCCCAGGUGAUGACACAUCUUCAUGUGAUUGAGGAACGGAUGAAUCAAAGCUUGUCUCUGCUCUACAAGGUGCCAUAUGUGGCUGAAGAAAUCCAGGAUGAAAUUGAUGAGCUGCUUCAGGAGCAGCGUGCAGACAUGGAUCAGUUCACAUCCUCCAUUUCUGAGUCCCAGGUGGAUGUCAGAGUGAGCUCUGAGGAGAGUGAAGAAAUUCCCCUGGAUGGCAAACCUUUCCACCCGUUCCAGGUGAAAACCUUCCCAGCCUUGCCUGAAAGUGAAGAUCCUCAGCCGGAUUUGUACCAUCCAAUGAAAAAAGGUUCUGGCAUGACUGAGCUGGAUGGGCUGAUUGGUGCUGAAGAAAAAGUGAUUAAUAGCAAGAACAAGGUGGAUGAAAAUGUGGUAAUUGAUGAAACCCUUGAUGUGAAGGAGAUGAUUUUCAACGCAGAGCGUGUCGGAGGGCUGGAUAAUGACAACUCCCUCCGUGAUGACUUUGGCUUCAGCAGCAGUGCCCUUAUUGGGCUGUUGGUGAUUGCUGUUGCCAUAGCUACUGUUAUAGUCAUCAGCUUGGUGAUGCUGAGGAAGAGGCAGUAUGGGACUAUCAGCCAUGGAAUUGUGGAGGUUGACCCGAUGCUCACCCCUGAGGAGCGGCAUCUGAGCAAGAUGCAAAACCAUGGCUAUGAGAAUCCCACUUACAAAUACCUGGAGCAGAUGCAGAUAUAAAAGAGAUGAAGAUGGAAUAGCCCCGAUAGGAAAAGGUGCGGGGCGAAGGGCCAAAGUGGUCCAGUGUUUUGGAUCAACUACUGACCAACAGUUGCUUCAAGAGGACUUCAUCUUACAUUCAGAACUCCUGGAUCAUUAAGACUAUAAUUACUACUGUAGAGUUGCAAUUUCCAUUCUUUAAAAUGGGUGAAGAAAUGAUAAUAUAACAAUAUGAUAUAUAAAUCUCCUUAAAUGGGAAAAAUUGAUCUAUUGCAGAUAUUUGACUGAGAUGUAGUUUUCUUUUUUUUUUAAUAAUCUGAAAAAUACCAGUUCUGUUGUACUGUUGUCUGAUACAAGCUCUAUAUAUAUAAAAAUGGGAAAUGUUGAUUUUUAUUUCUGAUAGACCACCUGUAUAUUGAGGGUUGUUUGUACCAGCCCACCUUCAAAAAAGGAGGCAGUUGCGGCUCUUUGGUCAUUUUGGCUUUUGUAUAUAAAGCAUUAUUCUUUUCCUUUUUUUUUUUAAGUGAAUUUCACUGGGACUUGCAAAGAGAUUAAUUUAGGGAUAGAAGCUAUAACAGCAUAAGCAAAGAAGCAAUUGGGAACAGUAACUAACAAAAUUCCCUAUAAUGAGACAAAAAAAAGGAAAAGAGAAAAAAAAGGAAAAAAACCCUCAUCUUCAUAUGCCAGUGGUGUGCACCCUGCUGCUUAGCAGCUUGGGCUCUAGGAAUCAAGACUCCCUGGAGGCAAGGAGUUAAAAGGCUUCUAGCAUCUCUGUUUAUAGUUAUUCUAGUAGAAUGUUAGAACAUGGUUUGUGCAUACUUGGGUCUGCACAUUCCCCUUCGAGAUUCAGUUCUGCUCUAGAGUUGGAAGUUCUGGUAUUGAAUUGAAAUCCUCUGUUCUCAGCCAGUUUCCUUCAGUACUCACCUGGCAUUAACAGCCCCGUCUUGCUACUACUUUCUAAUUUCCCCAGCUCUCCUGCCUCACCAACAUGGUAAGUAGUUAAGAGCCACAGGUUUCUGAGCCUUUGCAUCUCCCUGGGUGAUGUUGGGCCAGAAAUGACAGAUCACUGCAAUAACUGAGGCCUUGGGAGCUAACAAACAGAGAGGUCUCUUAGCUGGGGAUGGAAGAGAGUGACAUGUUGGGAAAGGGAUGCUGCCUACUCUAAGGGAAAUAGAAUGCAUAGGCUCCAAGAAGAACAAAAGGGGCAUUGUUCCACUCACCAUCAUCAUGUCUUUGUAAUGCUUGUAUAGUUGGUGUUAAUGCUCACGGCUUUUUUUAAUCUGGGGGUUCUGGUAACCUGUGGUGUAUUUUUUCUAUUUUUCCUGUGACUUUAUUUUUUCUUCCCCUUUCCGUGUUUCUUCCCACUAUGCACAGAUUUACCUGCAAACUCCUUAGUGUGGUCUGUGGGGAAUGUACAAAGUUUAAACACAUCAAUAAACACUUUAACUUCCAGAUUGCUUCUUCUCUU